RNAcentral lists this small RNA (104 nucleotides) under Cloning vector 3-waxy-guide-CR3. RNAcentral's name for it is "Waxy-CR3 gRNA". The stretch from base 21 to 102 matches the Rfam family "Trans-activating crRNA". Rfam says of the family: RNA-guided Streptococcus pyogenes Cas9 (SpCas9) is a sequence-specific DNA endonuclease, the Trans-activating CRISPR RNA form an hybrid with the crRNA (crRNA/tracrRNA). The RNA hybrid acts as a guide for the endonuclease Cas9. The record is from RNAcentral.
GCAAUAUAAAAUUACCGAUGUUUUAGAGCUAGAAAUAGCAAGUUAAAAUAAGGCUAGUCCGUUAUCAACUUGAAAAAGUGGCACCGAGUCGGUGCUUUUUUUUU